RNAcentral lists this ribosomal RNA (453 nucleotides) under Naja atra (Chinese cobra). RNAcentral describes it as "partial 16S ribosomal RNA". It matches the Rfam family "Bacterial large subunit ribosomal RNA", at positions 1951 to 2615 of the family's 2925-position model. Lineage: Eukaryota; Metazoa; Chordata; Lepidosauria; Squamata; Elapidae. The record is from RNAcentral.
CAAAGGUAGGGUAAUCACUUGUUUAUUAAUUGUAGACCUGUAUGAAAGGCAAAACGAGGGCCUAUCUGUCUCUUGUAGUAAAUCAAUUAAACUGAUCUCCCAGUCCAAAAGCUGGGAUGCCAACAUAAGACCAGAAGACCCUGUGAAGCUUAAACUAAACUAUUAAAUCCUAUAAUAGCUCCUUUCGGUUGGGGCGACCCUGGAAAAAAAAAGAACUUCCAAACAUACUGACCUUACAGUCACCUACCCUAGGCCAACAAGCCUAACAACGACCCAGCACAGCUGAUAAUUGAACCAAGUUACUCCAGGGAUAACAGCGCUAUCUUUUUCAAGAGCCCAUAUCAAAAAGAAGGUUUACGACCUCGAUGUUGGAUCAGGACAUCCUAAUGGUGCAGCCGCUAUUAAGGGUUCGUUUGUUCAACGAUUAACAGUCCUACGUGAUCUGAUUUCAAA